CGGCGAGUGAAGCGGUAACAGCUCAAAUUUGAAAUCUGGCCUCACGGUCCGAGUUGUAAUUUGUAGAGGAUGCUUCGAGCAUGGUCUGGCCUAAGUUCCUUGGAACAGGACGUCAUAGAGGGUGAGAAUCCCGUAUGCGGCCAGGUGCCUACGCUCAUGUGAAGCUCCUUCGACGAGUCGAGUUGUUUGGGAAUGCAGCUCAAAAUGGGUGGUAAAUUUCAUCUAAAGCUAAAUAUUGGCCAGAGACCGAUAGCGCACAAGUAGAGUGAUCGAAAGAUGAAAAGCACUUUGGAAAGAGAGUUAAACAGUACGUGAAAUUGUUGAAAGGGAAGCGCUUGCAACCAGACUUGCGCGCGGCCGAUCAUCCGGUGUUCUCACCGGUGCACUCGGCCGUGCUCAGGCCAGCAUCGGUUUUGGCGGCUGGAUAAAGGCCCUAGGAAUGUAGCUCCUCUCGGGGAGUGUUAUAGCCUAGGGUGCAAUGCAGCCUGCUGGGACCGAGGACCGCG
This 506-nucleotide ribosomal RNA is filed under the name Pseudogymnoascus pannorum. Its description in RNAcentral is "eukaryotic LSU rRNA". It matches the Rfam family "Eukaryotic large subunit ribosomal RNA", at positions 87 to 599 of the family's 3401-position model. Lineage: Eukaryota; Fungi; Ascomycota; Leotiomycetes; Thelebolales; Thelebolaceae. The record is from RNAcentral.